Molecule: non-coding RNA, 126 nt
Organism: Podarcis lilfordi (Lilford's wall lizard)
Lineage: Eukaryota; Metazoa; Chordata; Lepidosauria; Squamata; Lacertidae
Source: the annotation of a GenBank genome assembly
CUUCCAGUAGCACCUUAGAGACCAACUAAGUUUGUUAUUGGUAUGAGCUUACCUGAAGAAGUGUGCAUGCACACGAAAGCUCAUACCAAUAACAAACUUAGUUGGUCUCUAAGGUGCUACUGGAAG